GUGCCAGCAGCCGCGGUAAUACGUAGGGUGCAAGCGUUAAUCGGAAUUACUGGGCGUAAAGCGUGCGCAGGCGGUUUUGUAAGACAGUGGUGAAAUCCCCGGGCUCAACCUGGGAACUGCCAUUGUGACUGCAAGGCUAGAGUGCGGCAGAGGGGGAUGGAAUUCCGCGUGUAGCAGUGAAAUGCGUAGAUAUGCGGAGGAACACCGAUGGCGAAGGCAAUCCCCUGGGCCUGCACUGACGCUCAUGCACGAAAGCGUGGGGAGCAAACAGGAU
This 274-nucleotide ribosomal RNA is filed under the name uncultured Burkholderiales bacterium. RNAcentral's name for it is "partial 16S ribosomal RNA". It matches the Rfam family "Bacterial small subunit ribosomal RNA", at positions 505 to 778 of the family's 1533-position model. Lineage: Bacteria; Pseudomonadati; Pseudomonadota; Betaproteobacteria; Burkholderiales. The record is from RNAcentral.